GUUAUCAGAUCACUGUGCACUGCAAAGAUGAGUGGGAUCUGUGUUACAGGAUCUACAUCCUUGCUUUAGGGCCAAAAUUUUGUCUGCUGUGCUGUCUAUGAAUGCUGUGUUGUCUUUGCUGAAAU
Molecule: long non-coding RNA, 125 nt
Filed under: Junco hyemalis (dark-eyed junco)
Lineage: Eukaryota; Metazoa; Chordata; Aves; Passeriformes; Passerellidae
Description: lncRNA (ENSJHYG00000007157.1)
Source: RNAcentral